UCCCUAGUGUUUUUUGUUCACUUUUGGUUUGUGUUGUUAUAAAUAAACUAUUAAGCAUAAAAAGAGUUGCAAAACACCUUUAACAGUAGUUAGCCCUUUUUCUUGCCCUUUACUUAUUUGUUUAUAUCAAUAAAAUGAUGAAAGGAAAUAAAGUCAUUCUUCCACAAUGUGUGUCUAAUAACUGUAGCCAAUACAAAUUUGAUCUGUCAAAAAUCUUGUUGUGUUUUCUUGAUAUAUCAGUUCAUGGCACAGCUAGAAAGAAAGGCGGAGUUGUCAUUUGUUAGCAGAACAGCUGGCGUAACAGACUGGAAGUUGUGUUCUCCAGGAAUUAAUUUUUUACCAAGGUGGAGGUACAAGCAAGGGACAGUUUGUCAUCCCAGGGAGGAUGUGUCAUCUCUGCAGACACCUCCAGGGAGAGGAAAACCUGGGAGAUGCAAACAAGAGGAAUCCUUACAUCAGUGCCAAGCCAAGGAGAAAGUGGGUAUCCAUGAAGAAACCAAGAAGCUCCUAGUGACCAGAAAGUGAAUACUGAGGAAUACUUUUCUCAACUAGAGCAAAGAGAACAUUAGGAUGACAUGGGGACCAUACCAGUACUCCAGCGGUUGGAACUAAAACCCUGAACCUUUUGAAAUUAGUGGGGAUUUUAUCACUGACUCUGCUUGUGCCAGUUUUACAACCCAAGAGCAGGCCUGGUUGCUCAUGAAGAGGUUUCUUAGCAGCAAGAGCUACUGGGGGAGACAUCUUCCCCAUGAGGGACCAUGAGCAGCUUGUCAGGAAAUACCAGAAGAAGGAACAGACAGACAGUGGUGUCUGCAUGCUCUGGGGCUGCCAAAGAGAAAAAGGGCACCACGAGGUAACCUGUUGGGCUGCUUUUUUCCCCUUACUGCACUGUGCUGCCCUGGGCUCAGCCCAGUGGAGUAUAGCACAGUCCUGUUUGCUGGCAAGUAUUCAGACUCUCGAAAAUGCAGCUAACAUUUGAAGCAUUGGUAAAAUGCCUAGUAGUGGCAGAGAUGGAAUGUAAUUUUUUAAAUUGUCGCAGAGUUGUCAGAGUUGUAGCAGGAAUUUGGUCACUAUCUCAGAGCAUAAUUUAGAUUGCUUAACUUCGCUGCAGUGCAAGCGUGAAAUUCCAAAGUGCCAACAUGAAAGGUGCUUCUGGGAUGAUACAGGAUAUCACUGAUGAAGACUGAAAUCCUGACCUUGAAGUCAAUAGGAGUUUUGUCAUUGAUGUCACUAAUUCUGGGAUUUCAAUCCAAAAGGUGUUGUGAUUGCCCAUGUAGAGAGAAAGUGGAAAUGUACACGUGGAAAUGUCACCCUAGAUGAGACAGGAAAGUGCAGGAAAAAAAGUGUUUUAAGAUUGCUUUUACUGCUUAUUUUUCUUGAUUAACUUUUUACUCCAUCUAUAUUUCCCUAUUUUGAGGUCUGUGUUUUCAUAUUUCCUCCUUUUAUUGCUUUUGAUAACCUUUUCUUCUGACUCCCAUUGUGUGUAAAUGGGAGCAAUACUAUUUAAUUGCCAAUUUGAUAUUUC
This 1525-nucleotide long non-coding RNA is filed under the name Anser brachyrhynchus (Pink-footed goose). Its description in RNAcentral is "lncRNA (ENSABRG00000002515.1)". Lineage: Eukaryota; Metazoa; Chordata; Aves; Anseriformes; Anatidae. The record is from RNAcentral.